RNAcentral lists this ribosomal RNA (1251 nucleotides) under Lactiplantibacillus plantarum. RNAcentral describes it as "bacterial SSU rRNA". It matches the Rfam family "Bacterial small subunit ribosomal RNA", at positions 196 to 1436 of the family's 1533-position model. The record is from RNAcentral. Lineage: Bacteria; Bacillati; Bacillota; Bacilli; Lactobacillales; Lactobacillaceae.
GAGUUUGAAAGAUGGCUUCGGCUAUCACUUUUGGAUGGUCCCGCGGCGUAUUAGCUAGAUGGUGGGGUAACGGCUCACCAUGACAAUGAUACGUAGCCGACCUGAGAGGGUAAUCGGCCACAUUGGGACUGAGACACGGCCCAAACUCCUACGGGAGGCAGCAGUAGGGAAUCUUCCACAAUGGACGAAAGUCUGAUGGAGCAACGCCGCGUGAGUGAAGAAGGGUUUCGGCUCGUAAAACUCUGUUGUUAAAGAAGAACAUAUCUGAGAGUAACUGUUCAGGUAUUGACGGUAUUUAACCAGAAAGCCACGGCUAACUACGUGCCAGCAGCCGCGGUAAUACGUAGGUGGCAAGCGUUGUCCGGAUUUAUUGGUCGUAAAGCGAGCGCAGGCGGUUUUUUAAGUCUGAUGUGAAAGCCUUCGGCUCAACCGAAGAAGUGCAUCGGAAACUGGGAAACUUGAGUGCAGAAGAGGACAGUGGAACUCCAUGUGUAGCGGUGAAAUGCGUAGAUAUAUGGAAGAACACCAGUGGCGAAGGCGGCUGUCUGGUCUGUAACUGACGCUGAGGCUCGAAAGUAUGGGUAGCAAACAGGAUUAGAUACCCUGGUAGUCCAUACCGUAAACGAUGAAUGCUAAGUGUUGGAGGGUUUCCGCCCUUCAGUGCUGCAGCUAACGCAUUAAGCAUUCCGCCUGGGGAGUACGGCCGCAAGGCUGAAACUCAAAGGAAUUGACGGGGGCCCGCACAAGCGGUGGAGCAUGUGGUUUAAUUCGAAGCUACGCGAAGAACCUUACCAGGUCUUGACAUACUAUGCAAAUCUAAGAGAUUAGACGUUCCCUUCGGGGACAUGGAUACAGGUGGUGCAUGGUCGUCGUCAGCUCGUGUCGUGAGAUGUUGGGUUAAGUCCCGCAACGAGCGCAACCCUUAUUAUCAGUUGCCAGCAUUAAGUUGGGCACUCUGGUGAGACUGCCGGUGACAAACCGGAGGAAGGUGGGGAUGACGUCAAAUCAUCAUGCCCCUUAUGACUGGGCUACACACGUGCUACAAUGGAUGGUACAACGAGUUGCGAACUCGCGAGAGUAAGCUAAUCUCUUAAAGCCAUUCUCAGUUCGGAUUGUAGGUUGCAACUCGCCUACAUGAAGUCGGAAUCGCUAGUAAUCGCGGAUCAGCAUGCCGCGGUGAAUACGUUCCCGGGCCUUGUACACACCGCCCGUCACACCAUGAGAGUUUGUAACACCCAAAGUCGGUGGGGU